AUGGUUUUGUGUCUGAGCCAGGCCAGUCACUGGACAGUCGGUCUCUUUCCCAGUCCCGUGCCUCGGGGCUGUUGUGGCGUCUCCGUGCACCGUGCCUGGCCCUCGGGCUGGCUCCACCAGCGCCUCCUCGCGCCCUCCCUCUGCGCGUCGCCCGGUCCGGCUACCCUUCCCCUGACCCCCAGGAGCCGCGCCGCACGGCCUGUUUGCAGCCCAGGGCCGCACGGCGAAGCUUCCGGGAGCCUGCGCUGCCUGGACUUGGGAAAGGGCAGGAGCAGCUGCCUCUCCCGGGUGCAAGAGAAAAGUGGACGCGAUGUCCCGGGUGCGUGCGCGUGCGCGCGUCCGCCCCGCAGGCCGCACGGAGCUCGCCGGGAGCGCCUGGAGCAGCCGCGGCCACCGCUGCGAGGGCCCGGCCCGCCGCCAGGGGGCAGUGUGUCUCCGCCGCAGGCGGCCCGGGCGGUCUGCUCAACGUUCGCACGGUUUGCGGCACCGCCCGCCCAACGUGAAGAACUAAUUAAAGCAUCUUUCUCCGUGGUAGAGAAGAAACCCAGACAACCGACAGAACCUGCCCGCUGCCUUUGCAGGAAGACGCAGAACGUGGCUCGGCCACCCCACCCCGGGCUUUCCCGGGCCGAAGGACCCAGGACCCAGCGGCCGAAUUCCUCCCGUGGCAGCGCCGUGCGUGACUGCGUGUGCGCUCGCCCGGGCAGGGAUCGCGGCGGCCUCUUCUCCGGAGGGGAAUGCCCAGCCCCCAUGCAGGCCCGCGCGGCUCUGCUGCGUGUGUGGCACCGGGCCGGACAGAUGCUCCUCCUGCUGCGUGCAAAUAUACGAAGAAGAGAAACCUCCUGGGCCGCGGGCACCAGCUCAGUUCUUCCUGUGCGUGACCCAACACGCGCUCCCCUCAGCCCCCUACAACGGCCACGUUCUUGUCUCUGUUCCCAGUGGGGUCGCGGGAUACAGGAGCACGCAGACCUGACUGGGUGGGGGGCUCCCGGCGACAGGCUUGGCUACAGGGACAAGGGAGGAAGAGGGAGCCGAGAGACUGCCGGGGUUUGA
This 1053-nucleotide long non-coding RNA is filed under the name Oryctolagus cuniculus (rabbit). RNAcentral's name for it is "lncRNA (ENSOCUG00000030218.1)". Lineage: Eukaryota; Metazoa; Chordata; Mammalia; Lagomorpha; Leporidae. The record is from RNAcentral.